GAUGAACGCUGGCGGCGUGCCUAAUACAUGCAAGUCGAGCGAACAGACGAGGAGCUUUCUCCUCUGACGUUAGCGGCGGACGGGUGAGUAACACGUGGAUAACCUACCUAUAAGACUGGGAUAACUUCGGGAAACCGGAGCUAAUACCGGAUAAUAUAUUGAACCGCAUGGUUCAAUAGUGAAAGACGGUUUUGCUGUCACUUAUAGAUGGAUCCGCGCCGCAUUAGCUAGUUGGUAAGGUAACGGCUUACCAAGGCGACGAUGCGUAGCCGACCUGAGAGGGUGAUCGGCCACACUGGAACUGAGACACGGUCCAGACUCCUACGGGAGGCAGCAGUAGGGAAUCUUCCGCAAUGGGCGAAAGCUUGACGGAGCAACGCCGCGUGAGUGAUGAAGGUCUUCGGAUCGUAAAACUCUGUUAUUAGGGAAGAACAAAUGUGUAAGUAACUAUGCACGUCUUGACGGUACCUAAUCAGAAAGCCACGGCUAACUACGUG
This 497-nucleotide ribosomal RNA is filed under the name uncultured bacterium. Its description in RNAcentral is "partial 16S ribosomal RNA". It matches the Rfam family "Bacterial small subunit ribosomal RNA", at positions 28 to 507 of the family's 1533-position model. The record is from RNAcentral.